GGUGGCUCAGUGGUAGAGCACUUGUCUUGCAUGCAUGAGGACCUGGGUUCGAUUCCCCAGCACCA
RNAcentral lists this transfer RNA (65 nucleotides) under Dipodomys ordii (Ord's kangaroo rat). It matches the Rfam family "tRNA". From Rfam's summary of the family: Transfer RNA (tRNA) molecules are approximately 80 nucleotides in length. Their secondary structure includes four short double-helical elements and three loops (D, anti-codon, and T loops). The record is from Rfam by way of RNAcentral. Lineage: Eukaryota; Metazoa; Chordata; Mammalia; Rodentia; Heteromyidae.